This 326-nucleotide ribosomal RNA is filed under the name uncultured eukaryote. RNAcentral's name for it is "partial 18S ribosomal RNA". It matches the Rfam family "Eukaryotic small subunit ribosomal RNA", at positions 1470 to 1796 of the family's 1831-position model. The record is from RNAcentral.
CCCUUAGAUGUUCUGGGCCGCACGCGUGCUACACUGACCGGCGCAACAAGCUUUUUUCCUUGGCUCGACAGGCCUGGGUAAUCUUCGAACGCCGGUCGUGAUGGGGAUAGAUCCUUGCAAUUUUUGAUCUUCAACGAGGAAUUCCUAGUAAAUGCGAGUCAUCAUCUCGCGUUGAUUACGUCCCUGCCCUUUGUACACACCGCCCGUCGCACCUACCGAUUGAAUGGUCCGGUGAAUAAUUCGGACUGCGGCAUUGACCGGUUCCCGAUCGUUGCUGCGGAAAGUUUAGUGAACCUUAUCACUUAGAGGAAGGAGAAGUCGUAACA